Molecule: transfer RNA, 70 nt
Filed under: Paroedura tanjaka
Lineage: Eukaryota; Metazoa; Chordata; Lepidosauria; Squamata; Gekkonidae
Description: tRNA-Trp
Source: RNAcentral
AGGUACUUAGGUUAUAACGAAAAACCAGGGACCUUCAAAGCCCCAAAAAGUGAUUGCCCACUAGCACCUG